Molecule: ribosomal RNA, 447 nt
Filed under: uncultured bacterium
Lineage: Bacteria
Description: bacterial SSU rRNA
Rfam family: Bacterial small subunit ribosomal RNA
Source: RNAcentral
GCCAGACUCCUACGGGAGGCAGCAGUGGGGGAUAUUGCACAAUGGGGGGAACCCUGAUGCAGCGACGCCGCGUGGGUGAAGGAGUAUUUCGGUAUGUAAAGCCCUAUCGGCAGGGAAGAAGCAAGACGGUACCUGACUAAGAAGCCCCGGCUAACUACGUGCCAGCAGCCGCGGUAAUACGUAGGGGGCAAGCGUUAUCCGGAUUUACUGGGUGUAAAGGGAGCGUAGACGGCGAUGCAAGCCAGAUGUGAAAGCCCGGGGCUCAACCCCGGGACUGCAUUUGGAACUGUGUGGCUGGAGUGUCGGAGAGGCAGGCGGAAUUCCUAGUGUAGCGGUGAAAUGCGUAGAUAUUAGGAGGAACACCAGUGGCGAAGGCGGCCUGCUGGACGAUGACUGACGUUGAGGCUCGAAAGCGUGGGGAGCAAACAGGAUUAGAUACCCGUGUAG